UACGUAGGGUGCAAGCGUUGUCCGGAAUUAUUGGGCGGAAAGAGCUCGUAGGCGGUUUGUCACGUCGGAUGUGAAACCCCGGGGCUCAACCCCGGGCCUGCAUUCGAUACGGGCAGACUAGAGUUCGGCAGGGGAGACUGGAAUUCCUGGUGUAGCGGUGUAAUGCGCAGAUAUCAGGAGGAACACCGGUGGCGAAGGCGGGUCUCUGGGCCGAUACUGACGCUGAGGAGCGAAAGCGUGGGGAGCAAACAGG
This 253-nucleotide ribosomal RNA is filed under the name uncultured bacterium. RNAcentral's name for it is "partial 16S ribosomal RNA". It matches the Rfam family "Bacterial small subunit ribosomal RNA", at positions 524 to 776 of the family's 1533-position model. The record is from RNAcentral.